AACGAACGCUGGCGGCAUGCCUAACACAUGCAAGUCGAACGGGAUCCUAGCUUGCUAGGUGAGAGUGGCGGACGGGUGAGUAACACGUGGGAAUCUGCCUUUUGGUUCGGGAUAACCGCGGGAAACUGCGGCUAAUACCGAAUGCCCUCGAGAGAGGAAAGAUUUAUCGCCAGAAGAGGAGCCCGCGUCCGAUUAGGUAGUUGGUGGGGUAAAGGCCUACCAAGCCGACGAUCGGUAGCUGGUCUGAGAGGAUGAUCAGCCCACACUGGGACUGAGAUACGGCCCAGACUCCUACGGGAGGCAGCAGUGGGGAAUAUUGGACAAUGGGGCAACCCUGAUCCAGCAAUGCCGCGUGAGUGAUGAAGGCCUUAGGU
Molecule: ribosomal RNA, 374 nt
Filed under: uncultured bacterium
Lineage: Bacteria
Description: bacterial SSU rRNA
Rfam family: Bacterial small subunit ribosomal RNA
Source: RNAcentral